AAAUGAAUUGACGGGGGCCCGCACAAGCAGUGGAGCAUGUGGUUUAAUUCGAAGCAACGCGAAGAACCUUACCAGGACUUGACAUCCUUUGACCGCUCUAGAGAUAGGGCUUUCCCCUUCGGGGGACAAAGUGACAGGUGGUGCAUGGUUGUCGUCAGCUCGUGUCGUGAGAUGUUGGGUUAAGUCCCGCAACGAGCGCAACCCUUGACCUUAGUUGCCAGCAUUCAGUUGGGCACUCUAAGGUGACUGCCGGUGACAAACCGGAGGAAGGUGGGGAUGACGUCAAAUCAUCAUGCCCCUUAUGUCCUGGGCUACACACGUGCUACAAUGGACAGUACAAAGGGUCGCGAAGCCGCGAGGCGGAGCCAAUCCCAAAAAGCUGUUCUCAGUUCGGAUUGCAGGCUGCAACUCGCCUGCAUGAAGCCGGAAUUGCUAGUAAUCGCGGAUCAGCAUGCCGCGGUGAAUACGUUCCCGGGCCUUGUACACACCGCCCGU
Molecule: ribosomal RNA, 495 nt
Filed under: uncultured bacterium
Lineage: Bacteria
Description: bacterial SSU rRNA
Rfam family: Bacterial small subunit ribosomal RNA
Source: RNAcentral